CUAGAUGCCGACAAGAUCCUCCGGUGUGGAGGGUGGCUGGUGUUCGUCGUUCUCAUCAACCUGAAGGAGCAUAAGAAGGUGGAGCUGUCAGCACUCCAGUGCCUGAGCGUUUGCCUUUGUGGAAACCCACAGCCCUAGUCUCUGAUUCCAGAGUUCUUCAGUCCUGGCUCCAAGCUUCAGUCUGGAUCCUGUCUCAGUCAAAGACCACAAGCCUUCAGAGAAAUCGUUUUGGAUCAAGGUCCAGCUGACAGUUCAAGUCCUUUGUUCCCAGGCAAAGCGAACCCUGCUCACCCUCCACCAACUAACUCCACCAACACCACUCCAGAGUGCUCGCCAUUUCCCUGAAAAGCUCCCAGGUUCUGCAGCAGCUUAUACUCGUCUUCCCAGGCUCCACAUCAUUCUCCCUCAUCCAACAAUCACUCUACAACUUGCUGUGCCUCCAGUCCCGGUUCCAGUACCAUAUCACAUUCCUGAACAAUAAUAAACUUGUUUAACUUUU
This is a long non-coding RNA of Girardinichthys multiradiatus, 499 nucleotides long. RefSeq lists it as uncharacterized. Lineage: Eukaryota; Metazoa; Chordata; Actinopteri; Cyprinodontiformes; Goodeidae. The transcript is spliced from 2 exons. The record is from RefSeq and is a predicted model, not a curated record.